CUAGUCUGUCCACGGUGGACUGGUCUCUGCUGGAGGAUCUAGUCUGUCCACGGUGGACUGGUCUCUGCUGGAGGAUCUCGUCUGUCCACGGUGGACUGGUCUCUGCUGGAGAUGUUCUGGUGAACCUGCAUGAUGUCAUCUGAUUUCACCAGAACCCGACCCGGUGGAUCAGGAUCAAGAAGGUCACUCACCUUGGUCCGAGUCAGGCGACAACCCAUCCUGACUCCUCCUGGUGAGAGGAGAGAGGAUGGAGGGUGAAAGGAGAGGAAGAUGAGGAGGACGGCUGAGAGAAGCUACAGAGGGGAGGGCGGCUGAAAGAAGGAGAGAGAGCGCAGAAUAGAUGAUCCUCGUUCGACCGCCAAGCUCACGCCCCCCCACAACCCCCUCGCCCCAGCAAUUCAGCUGUGCUCCUGUGCCGCCCAGCGCACUACAUCUCCCAUGAUGCCACGGUGUAAACAGCAGCCGACUGGCAGCGGCGGGGCCAUCGCACUAAAGCGCCCUCUCUCUCUCCUCGCCAAUGAGAGAGAGCGAGAGACGUGAAGGAGAACAGAGAGCGAGAUGGAGCUCUGCUCCCCCUGGCCAAUCACAGAGCCCGGAUGAGAGGAGGAGGGAGGCGGAUGCUCUGAUUGGCCGAGAGCGGAGUCAUUCUGAGCAUCCAUUCGGGGUUUUCUCUCUCGCCACAGAUUUGUCCUUUCUCCUUCGUCUCGGUAUUUCUCCUGUGUGUGUGUGUGUGUGUGUGUGUGUGUGUGUGUGUGUGUGUAGUUGUGGUGAAGAGAGCGCGUUUCAUCUACAUUGGACUCGUAUCCGUCUGUGGGAAGUGGAGGUCACGUGACGUCCCUCAUUGGUGUGUAGACGUUUUCAAACUUCUAGUUCAGCGAUUUUUCUGUCGGCAUUUUGUUUUUUCACAACCAGUGAACAGGAAGUGACCAUAUAAGGACUGAGGAGGACAUAGAGACGCCGUGUACGUCUCUGUUAAAGACCUGUCAAUCAGCGUGUAGACCCACCCUAAAGCAUCCUCUGCUUUAUGGUCUGUUGGACUCUAAAUGGACUGAAUGAAAUUCAGAUUUUCAGAUUUGAAACUAGAGAUUGAGACCAUAAACCUUUAUAAUGUUUAUAAUCAAGUCUAUGGGACCAGAGGAGUCGCCCUCUGCUGGUCACUGCACAGAAUGCAGCUCUAAGACUUAACAAAAACAAAGUUCUAUUCCUAUAGCAGUGGUAUGAACGGUAUAUUUGCGCUGGAGUCGCAAGAUUGGUCUGGUUUGGGCUGUCAAUAAAAAUGAACUAAUCGCACAUUUUAAAAUUCAUUAAUCACGAAUAAUGAAUGUUCUUCUAAAGACUAA
Molecule: non-coding RNA, 1340 nt
Organism: Gasterosteus aculeatus aculeatus (three-spined stickleback)
Lineage: Eukaryota; Metazoa; Chordata; Actinopteri; Perciformes; Gasterosteidae
Source: RefSeq, a predicted model, not a curated record